GCAACGCUUCUAGACGCGAAUGAACAGUCGCGCGGACACGAAAAUGUAAUCGCUUGCUCGAGGCUUAAAAAUCGAGACUCACACGCAUGAGAAUCGUGAGGCGCGCGCGCCCGCUCCGUACCGACACAUUUUUAGUGCCACCUGAGGAAUUGGGAUAUCGGUGCUUGUGGUGUCAAAAUCGUAUUAAAACCAUAAUCGUACGGCUAGAUUUGACUGCUUAGCAUGUAAACUAAUUUGUGCUUGAUGGGAAGAGACGUCAUAGGAGAUUUGGCUGAUGAUUAUCAUAAAGUCUUUCCGAGCUUCUUUCGUCAACGAGUCUUCGGACCACCACUUGACAAAAUGAAACUACAUGAAAAGAAAGAGUCAGGUAUCCACAAGAUACAGGAAGUAACUUUGGAUGAACUCGAUUUAACGAAAGAAUACAAUAUAGAAAAAAACUUGGGUGAAGGUAGUUUUGCCAAGGUUCUAUUAGCUACACACCGACGAACACAAACACGAGUAGUUCUAAAGGCAGUUCAUCAAGAGCUUACAACCGAAAAAGAUUUCUUUCGCGAGUUUCACUAUUCCUAUCACCUCAGUCCUCAUCCCAAUAUAUUGUGCUCAUAUGCGGUUGCCUUCAAGGCAGAAAACUGUUACGUCUUUGCACAGGAAUACGCUCCUUUCGGCGAUCUCGCGGGUAAUGUCAAGGCAGGUGGUUUAAAUGAGGAUAUUUGUAAAAAAAUCGCGGCACAAUUAUCUUCAGCUUUAGACUUUUUACACUCCAAGCAAUUGGCUCAUCGAGAUGUUAAACUCGAGAAUAUCUUGGUUUUUGCCCAAGAUAUGUCGAAGAUCAAACUUUGCGAUUUUGGCUCUAUGAAACACGAAGGGACUUUAGUCAACAAGAUUAGAUGUACAUGGGUUCCAUUUUUACCCCCGGAAAUUCACGAAAUCAUUAAAAAUGAGAGGUACACGUGUAAAAGGAGCGCCGACUGCUGGCAGUUUGGCAUAGUCCUUUUUGUUUGCUUGACUGGUAAUCCACCCUGGCAAAGCGCCGAUCUUAUUCAAGAUCCUGACUACUCGGCUUUUCAGCGUUGGCUGAAACGCCGCACAACUAAGAUUCCUUUAAACUUCAGACGAUUUACUCCGAGGUUACUACGUUAUUUUAGGCGAAUAUUUGAGCAUAAACCGGAAAAACGACCUCUCAUUGUCGAGAUCAAUAAGUACUUGAAAGAUACGUGGUGCGUCAGCAAACUUAGUCAUAGUGCAACGUCAACGUCGGUCGAUGUAUCAGAAAAUUUUGCUAAGCGACCCGACAGCUUACUUUAUCUAGAUACUAUCGUCGAUGAUCGCAAUAAGUUCGAUGAAAAUAAGAACAAGCUGAGAAAAUUAUUGAAUAGUUACGGAUUAGAAACAACGGUCGAUCAAAAAGAUAUGACUAAGAGAAUUUGGGAGUGGGUGAUGCAGUGUGAUUCGAACAUUGGAGAUUCGGGACUACUUUCUAAUAAUUUUGGAAGCGGAUCCAUGUGAGACUCGAUCAGGUCAUCCAGUGAACCGUGUCUAAAAGGUACUCCGAAGAGUCGGAAGUUAAGCUGCAUUGAUUUCGGCCUACAAACAUAAUUUGUAAGAGUAUCUCAAAGAAUGUGCCAAUUGUUAAGAUGCGACGAAAUAUCAUCAAGAGACAUGCAGUGUUGUAAAGCGCAAUAUUCGAGUAGUAAAUGAAUUAUAUUGUCUUCGUGUCCGGGAAGCGCUUCUUUAUUUGAUAAUUCAAAUAAUAAAAACGUUACCGCUUGUUAUUUAUGUUAUACAUGUUGUAAUUAUAUUAAGAGAGAAUAGUACUUCAAUAAGUAUACAAUUCAAUAAAAGUUGAUCACUCAAAAUUGUAUGUUAGACCAAUUUAUCGAUCUAUUUAAUUAUUAGCUUUUAAAGUCUAGUUAUUGACGUACAUAUAAAUUUUUACCUUUGUACGUUUCCAAUUAAAACAUAGUUACACAAGAAUAUACAAUACCUUUGGGAUCUCAGAAGAUAUAUCACUUUAUUUUUACGUCAAGAUUA
Molecule: RNA transcript, 2031 nt
Organism: Ceratosolen solmsi marchali
Lineage: Eukaryota; Metazoa; Arthropoda; Insecta; Hymenoptera; Agaonidae
Gene: meng
Gene name: serine/threonine-protein kinase meng-po
Exons: 3
Source: RefSeq, a predicted model, not a curated record